GGGUGCGAUCAUACCAACGCUGACGCUUCAGAUCCCAUUAGAACUCCGUAGUUAAGCGUGUUUGGACGAGAGUAGUACUAAGAUGGGUGACGACCUAAGAAAUUCUCGUGUUGCACCUC
Macadamia integrifolia is the source of this 119-nucleotide ribosomal RNA. The record is from RefSeq and is a predicted model, not a curated record. Lineage: Eukaryota; Viridiplantae; Streptophyta; Magnoliopsida; Proteales; Proteaceae.